GACGAACGCUGGCGGCGUGCCUAACACAUGCAAGUCGAACGGAAAGGCCCUGCUCUUGCGGGGCGCUCGAGUGGCGAACGGGUGAGUAACACGUGAGUAACCUGUCCCUGACUUUGGGAUAACUCUAGGAAACUGGGGCUCAUAUCGGAUAUGAGAUCUUGCUGCACGGUGGGGGUUGGUAAGUUUCGGCGGUUGGGGCUCGGCUCGCGGCUUAUCAGCUUCUUAGUGGAGUAGGGGCAUACCAAGGCUGUGACGGGUAGCCGGCCUGGGAGGGGGGACGGCCACAUGGGGACUAAGGGACGGCCCAGACGCCUACGGGACGCAGCGGUGGGGAGUAUGACGCAGUGGGCGGGAGCCUGAUACGGCAGCGCCGCGUGCGGGAUGACGGCCUACGGGUGGAAAACCGCUUUCGCCUGUGACGAGGCGUGAGUGACGGUAAUGAAUAAGGAAGCACCGGCUAAUUACGUG
This 468-nucleotide ribosomal RNA is filed under the name uncultured bacterium. RNAcentral describes it as "partial 16S ribosomal RNA". It matches the Rfam family "Bacterial small subunit ribosomal RNA", at positions 28 to 507 of the family's 1533-position model. The record is from RNAcentral.